CAGCCGCCACGGUAAUACGUAGGGUGCAAGCGUUAAUCGGAAUUACUGGGCGUAAAGCGUGCGUAGGCGGUGAGUUAAGUCUGCUGUGAAAUCCCCGGGCUUAGCCUGGGAACUGCAUUUGUGACUGGCGGGCUAGAGUAUGGCAGAGGGGGGUAGAAUUCCACGUGUAGCAGUGAAAUGCGUAGAGAUGUGGAGGAAUACCGAUGGCGAAGGCAGCCCCCUGGGCCAAUACUGACGCUCAUGCACGAAAGCGUGGGGAGCAAACAGGAUUAGAUACCCCAGUAGUCCCUGUCUCUUAUAA
This 301-nucleotide ribosomal RNA is filed under the name uncultured bacterium. RNAcentral describes it as "partial 16S ribosomal RNA". It matches the Rfam family "Bacterial small subunit ribosomal RNA", at positions 509 to 809 of the family's 1533-position model. The record is from RNAcentral.